UGGUAUUUGGAUAUUCCUUGGCUGAAUC
RNAcentral lists this non-coding RNA (28 nucleotides) under Mus musculus (house mouse). The record is from RNAcentral. Lineage: Eukaryota; Metazoa; Chordata; Mammalia; Rodentia; Muridae.